UGGUUGACAGCAUGCCUCGACGUCUAUUGGUAGUAAUUAAUGCUAAGGGUGGCAACACUAAAUAUUGAAGCUCUAGUGUGAAGAUUACCGCGUAUUUUGCAGUCACUAGCACUAAAAUGCAGAAAAUUAAUUUAAUUUUUUGUAUGUAGUAUACUCAUAAGCAAAAACAAAAACCAUGCAAAAAAAUAAACUUCACUUUUCAAAAGA
Molecule: long non-coding RNA, 207 nt
Organism: Bactrocera neohumeralis
Lineage: Eukaryota; Metazoa; Arthropoda; Insecta; Diptera; Tephritidae
Exons: 2
Source: RefSeq, a predicted model, not a curated record